GACGAACCGUGCGAACGUUAUUCGGAAUCACUGGGCGUAAAGGGCGCGUAGGCGGUCAGCACAAGUCAGUUGUGAAAUCUCCGAGCUUAACUCGGAAAGGUCAACUGAUACUGUGCGACUAGAGUGCGGAAGGGGCAACUGGAAUUCUUGGUGUAGCGGUGAAAUGCGUAGAUAUCAAGAGGAACACCUGCGGCGAAGGCGGGUUGCUGGGCCGACACUGACGCUGAAGCGCGAAAGCCAGGGGAGCGAACGGG
This 254-nucleotide ribosomal RNA is filed under the name uncultured bacterium. RNAcentral's name for it is "partial 16S ribosomal RNA". It matches the Rfam family "Bacterial small subunit ribosomal RNA", at positions 524 to 776 of the family's 1533-position model. The record is from RNAcentral.